UACAGAGGUCCCAAGCGUUGUUCGGAUUCACUGGGCGUAAAGGGUGCGUAGGUGGUUCGUUAAGUCUGAUGUGAAAGCCCUGGGCUCAACCUGGGAAUGGCAUUGGAAACUGGCGACCUAGAGUGCGGUAGAGGGCAGUGGAAUUCCCGGUGUAGCAGUGAAAUGCGUAGAGAUCGGGAGGAACAUCUGUGGCGAAGGCGACUGCCUGGACCAGCACUGACACUGAGGCACGAAAGCGUGGGGAGCAAACAGG
RNAcentral lists this ribosomal RNA (253 nucleotides) under uncultured bacterium. RNAcentral describes it as "partial 16S ribosomal RNA". It matches the Rfam family "Bacterial small subunit ribosomal RNA", at positions 524 to 776 of the family's 1533-position model. The record is from RNAcentral.